RNAcentral lists this small RNA (171 nucleotides) under Staphylococcus aureus. It matches the Rfam family "S. aureus tsr24 small RNA", at positions 1 to 181 of the family's 238-position model. Lineage: Bacteria; Bacillati; Bacillota; Bacilli; Caryophanales; Staphylococcaceae. The record is from RNAcentral.
AAUUUUUAUACAUAAGGCACCUCGUUAAUUUAGUUUAGUGGUAUUUAUUAAAUUAUACGAAAGUGUCUUAUUUUUUUAAAGUAUUUAAAAGUAAAAUUACAUGUUAAUACGUAGUAUUAAUGGCGAGACUCCUGAGGGAGCAGUGCCAGUCGAAGACCGAGGCUGAGACGG